RNAcentral lists this ribosomal RNA (2923 nucleotides) under Klebsiella pneumoniae. Its description in RNAcentral is "bacterial LSU rRNA". It matches the Rfam family "Bacterial large subunit ribosomal RNA". Lineage: Bacteria; Pseudomonadati; Pseudomonadota; Gammaproteobacteria; Enterobacterales; Enterobacteriaceae. The record is from RNAcentral.
GGGUUGUGAGGUUAAGCGACUAAGCGUACACGGUGGAUGCCCUGGCAGUCAGAGGCGAUGAAGGACGUGCUAAUCUGCGAAAAGCGUCGGUAAGGUGAUAUGAACCGUUAUAACCGGCGAUGUCCGAAUGGGGAAACCCAGUGCAAUUCGUUGCACUAUCGUUAACUGAAUACAUAGGUUAACGAGGCGAACCGGGGGAACUGAAACAUCUAAGUACCCCGAGGAAAAGAAAUCAACCGAGAUUCCCCCAGUAGCGGCGAGCGAACGGGGAGCAGCCCAGAGUCUGAAUCAGCUUGUGUGUUAGUGGAACGGUCUGGAAAGUCCGACGGUACAGGGUGAUAGUCCCGUACACCAAAAUGCACAGGUUGUGAACUCGAAGAGUAGGGCGGGACACGUGGUAUCCUGUCUGAAUAUGGGGGGACCAUCCUCCAAGGCUAAAUACUCCUGACUGACCGAUAGUGAACCAGUACCGUGAGGGAAAGGCGAAAAGAACCCCGGCGAGGGGAGUGAAAAAGAACCUGAAACCGUGUACGUACAAGCAGUGGGAGCACCUUCGGGUGUGACUGCGUACCUUUUGUAUAAUGGGUCAGCGACUUAUAUUCUGUAGCAAGGUUAACCGUAUAGGGGAGCCGCAGGGAAACCGAGUCUUAACUGGGCGUUAAGUUGCAGGGUAUAGACCCGAAACCCGGUGAUCUAGCCAUGGGCAGGUUGAAGGUUGGGUAACACUAACUGGAGGACCGAACCGACUAAUGUUGAAAAAUUAGCGGAUGACUUGUGGCUGGGGGUGAAAGGCCAAUCAAACCGGGAGAUAGCUGGUUCUCCCCGAAAGCUAUUUAGGUAGCGCCUCGUGAACUCAUCUUCGGGGGUAGAGCACUGUUUCGGCUAGGGGGUCAUCCCGACUUACCAACCCGAUGCAAACUACGAAUACCGAAGAAUGUUAUCACGGGAGACACACGGCGGGUGCUAACGUCCGUCGUGAAGAGGGAAACAACCCAGACCGCCAGCUAAGGUCCCAAAGUCAUGGUUAAGUGGGAAACGAUGUGGGAAGGCACAGACAGCCAGGAUGUUGGCUUAGAAGCAGCCAUCAUUUAAAGAAAGCGUAAUAGCUCACUGGUCGAGUCGGCCUGCGCGGAAGAUGUAACGGGGCUAAACCAUGCACCGAAGCUGCGGCAGCGACACUAUGUGUUGUUGGGUAGGGGAGCGUUCUGUAAGCCUGCGAAGGUGACCUGUGAGGGUUGCUGGAGGUAUCAGAAGUGCGAAUGCUGACAUAAGUAACGAUAAAGCGGGUGAAAAGCCCGCUCGCCGGAAGACCAAGGGUUCCUGUCCAACGUUAAUCGGGGCAGGGUGAGUCGACCCCUAAGGCGAGGCCGAAAGGCGUAGUCGAUGGGAAACAGGUUAAUAUUCCUGUACUUGGUGUUACUGCGAAGGGGGGACGGAGAAGGCUAUGUUAGCCGGGCGACGGUUGUCCCGGUUUAAGCAUGUAGGCUGGUUGUCCAGGCAAAUCCGGAUAAUCAAGGCUGAGGUGUGAUGACGAGGCACUACGGUGCUGAAGUAACAAAUGCCCUGCUUCCAGGAAAAGCCUCUAAGCAUCAGGUAACAUCAAAUCGUACCCCAAACCGACACAGGUGGUCAGGUAGAGAAUACCAAGGCGCUUGAGAGAACUCGGGUGAAGGAACUAGGCAAAAUGGUGCCGUAACUUCGGGAGAAGGCACGCUGGUGUGUAGGUGAAGUCCCUGCGGAUGGAGCUGAGACCAGUCGAAGAUACCAGCUGGCUGCAACUGUUUAUUAAAAACACAGCACUGUGCAAACACGAAAGUGGACGUAUACGGUGUGACGCCUGCCCGGUGCCGGAAGGUUAAUUGAUGGGGUUAUCCGUAAGGAGAAGCUCUUGAUCGAAGCCCCGGUAAACGGCGGCCGUAACUAUAACGGUCCUAAGGUAGCGAAAUUCCUUGUCGGGUAAGUUCCGACCUGCACGAAUGGCGUAAUGAUGGCCAGGCUGUCUCCACCCGAGACUCAGUGAAAUUGAACUCGCUGUGAAGAUGCAGUGUACCCGCGGCAAGACGGAAAGACCCCGUGAACCUUUACUAUAGCUUGACACUGAACAUUGAGCCUUGAUGUGUAGGAUAGGUGGGAGGCUUUGAAGCGUGGACGCCAGUCUGCGUGGAGCCAACCUUGAAAUACCACCCUUUAAUGUUUGAUGUUCUAACGUUGGCCCCUGACCGGGGUUGCGGACAGUGUCUGGUGGGUAGUUUGACUGGGGCGGUCUCCUCCCAAAGCGUAACGGAGGAGCACGAAGGUUAGCUAAUCCUGGUCGGACAUCAGGAGGUUAGUGCAAUGGCAUAAGCUAGCUUGACUGCGAGCGUGACGGCGCGAGCAGGUGCGAAAGCAGGUCAUAGUGAUCCGGUGGUUCUGAAUGGAAGGGCCAUCGCUCAACGGAUAAAAGGUACUCCGGGGAUAACAGGCUGAUACCGCCCAAGAGUUCAUAUCGACGGCGGUGUUUGGCACCUCGAUGUCGGCUCAUCACAUCCUGGGGCUGAAGUAGGUCCCAAGGGUAUGGCUGUUCGCCAUUUAAAGUGGUACGCGAGCUGGGUUUAGAACGUCGUGAGACAGUUCGGUCCCUAUCUGCCGUGGGCGCUGGAGAAUUGAGGGGGGCUGCUCCUAGUACGAGAGGACCGGAGUGGACGCAUCACUGGUGUUCGGGUUGUCAUGCCAAUGGCACUGCCCGGUAGCUAAAUGCGGAAGAGAUAAGUGCUGAAAGCAUCUAAGCACGAAACUUGCCCCGAGAUGAGUUCUCCCUGAGACUUUAAGUCUCCUGAAGGAACGUUAAAGACGAUGACGUUGAUAGGCCGGGUGUGUAAGCGCAGCGAUGCGUUGAGCUAACCGGUACUAAUGAACCGUGAGGCUUAACCUUACAACGCCGAAG